UAAAAGUAGGACAAAGUCGGAAGCUUUAAGUUAUAGUCAUGCCAGGUUGUGGAGUUCUUCCUUGGACUGUCAACUCUUCUUUGUGUGGAAUUAUGUUUUACAAGUUUUUGGAACAACAGAAGAACCCAAUACAGACCUUUAUUAGCCUUUUUUGCUAGGUAUGGGCCAUAGACAGUCUAUGGUAUGAACGCUAGCUAAUGAAGUAGCAUAUUAAGCUAUACGCAUAGCCUGUAUGGAAUGAAUGGGCAGUUGACCACCGCUUACCGAACAAAGCUUACCGAGUGGAGUGAAAACCAGAUAUCGCUCUGAACUGCCAGGUUCCUUUCGCCACUUUGAAGGUGUAGGACAGGACAGGGAGUUUCUGGUGCCACGAGGUUUCCAUGAAAGCCCGGACGUCACCUCCAUGGUCACAAGCUGACAGGCGAAGGUCACAUCUGGAGCAGGCCAGCUCAAAGCUUUUCUCUCCAUUUUUCUUUGAUUCCUUCAAAGUCCCAAAACUGGACGAACACUCCUUGUUUCUAGGGACCUCAAGCUGCCCCCUGAGAUGCUGCCCUGUGUGGCUGCCCAUGUCGCCCCCAUGCUUAAAUUCUCUGCUGGAACGAACCGUAAUUAUAGUGAACUGAAAACAAAUUAAAACAAGUGACUG
Molecule: long non-coding RNA, 646 nt
Organism: Amphiprion ocellaris (clown anemonefish)
Lineage: Eukaryota; Metazoa; Chordata; Actinopteri; Pomacentridae
Source: Ensembl